Molecule: long non-coding RNA, 302 nt
Filed under: Homo sapiens (human)
Lineage: Eukaryota; Metazoa; Chordata; Mammalia; Primates; Hominidae
Description: non-protein coding lnc-PHF10-3:2
Source: RNAcentral
ACUCUAGGGCUGGUCCCUCGAGGGACUGUCAUGGGCUCGCUUUUGGGAAAGGUGCUGUGUUUACAGUUGAGCCUGGAUGAUCAUGUUGUUGCCGUGUGUGCUGGAAACAAAAUAUUCAUGCUGGAUAUUGAGAUGGAGUGCUGUAAAAUUCAAGAACAGUGCCCAGCACUUCGUGCCUGGAGUUCCCUGGGGAUAUUCUCAGGGCGAUGACUGACCAUUAGGAACCCCCGAUGCUCUCACUACUCCAUUCCUCAGUCAUGCUGUUCAAGCCUGAUUUCCAUAUAAACGGGAAGCCCUGUGUG